GACGAACGCUGGCGGCGUGCUUAACACAUGCAAGUCGAACGGAAAGGCCUGCUUUCCCUUGUGGAUUGCGGGUACUCGAGUGGCGAACGGGUGAGUAACACGUGAGUGAUCUGCCCCCAACUUGGGUAUAAGCCUGGGAAACUGGGUCUAAUUCCCGAUAGGACUGCAGGGUGGUGCCUGUGGUGGAAAACGAUUUUCUAGUGGUUGGGGAUGAGCUCGCGGCCUAUCAGCUUGUUGGUGGGGUAAUGGCCUACCAAGGCGGCGACGGGUAGCCGGCCUGAGAGGGUGGACGGCCACAUUGGGACUGAGAUACGGCCCAGACUCCUACGGGAGGCAGCAGUGGGGAAUAUUGCCAAAUGGGCGGAAGCCUGAUGCAGCGACGCCGCGUGGGGGAUGACGGCCUUCGGGUUGUAAACUCCUUUCGACCGCGAGGAAGCCACCUGGUUGGAAGGGUGGUGACGUUAGUGGUAGAAGAAGCACCGGCUAACUACGUG
RNAcentral lists this ribosomal RNA (494 nucleotides) under uncultured bacterium. RNAcentral's name for it is "partial 16S ribosomal RNA". It matches the Rfam family "Bacterial small subunit ribosomal RNA", at positions 28 to 507 of the family's 1533-position model. The record is from RNAcentral.